This 88-nucleotide transfer RNA is filed under the name Acidobacteriota bacterium. RNAcentral describes it as "tRNA-Asp". It matches the Rfam family "tRNA". From Rfam's summary of the family: Transfer RNA (tRNA) molecules are approximately 80 nucleotides in length. Lineage: Bacteria; Pseudomonadati; Acidobacteriota. The record is from RNAcentral.
GGAGGGGUGGCAGAGUGGUUUAUUGCGCUUGACUGUCCAUCAAGUAAACCUCUCGGUUUCGCGGGUUCAAAUCCCGCCCCCUCCACCA